GACGAACGCUGGCGGCAUGCCUAAUACAUGCAAGUCGAGCGAACAGAUGAAGUGCUUGCACUUCUGACGUUAGCGGCGAACGGGUGAGUAACACGUAAGGAAUCUACCUAUAAGCGGGGGAUAACAUUCGGAAACGGGUGCUAAUACCGCAUAAUAUCUUCUUCCGCAUGGAAGAAGAUUGAAAGACGGCUCUGCUGUCACUUAUAGAUGACCUUGCGGUGCAUUAGUUAGUUGGUGGGGUAAUGGCCUACCGAGACGAUGAUGCAUAGCCGACCUGAGAGGGUGAUCGACCACAUUGUGACUGGGACACGGCCCAAACUCCUACGGGAGGCAGCAGUAGGGAAUCUUCCGCAAUGGGCGAAAGCCUGACGGAGCAAUGCCGCGUGAGUGAAGAAGGCCUUCGGGUCGUAAAACUCUGUUAUAAGAGAAGAACAAAUUGUAGAGUAACUGCUACAGUCUUGACGGUAUCUUAUCAGAAAGCCACGGCUAACUACGUGCCAGCCGCCGCCGUAA
Molecule: ribosomal RNA, 513 nt
Filed under: uncultured bacterium
Lineage: Bacteria
Description: partial 16S ribosomal RNA
Rfam family: Bacterial small subunit ribosomal RNA
Source: RNAcentral